AGCGAACGCUGGCGGCAGGCCUAACACAUGCAAGUCGAACGGACCCUUCGGGGUUAGUGGCGGACGGGGGAGGAACACGUGGGAACGUGCCCUUAGGGUCGGAAUAGCUCCUGGAAACGGGUGGUAAUGCCGAAUGUGCCCUUCGGGGGAAAGAUUUAUCGCCUUUAGUGCGGCCCGCGUCGGAUUAGAUAGUUGGUAAGGUAACGGCUCACCAAGGCGACGAUCAGUAGCUGGUCUGAGAGGCUGACCAGCCACACUGGGACUGAGACACGGCCCAGACUCCUACGGGAGGCAGCAGUGGGGGAUCUUGCGCAAUGGGCGAAAGCAUGACGCAGCCAUGCCGCGUGAAUGAUGUAGGUAUUAGGAUUGUAAUAUUCUUUCAACGGGGCCGAUAAUGACGGUACCCGGAGAAGAAGCCCCGGCUAACUUCGUG
Molecule: ribosomal RNA, 433 nt
Filed under: uncultured bacterium
Lineage: Bacteria
Description: partial 16S ribosomal RNA
Rfam family: Bacterial small subunit ribosomal RNA
Source: RNAcentral